Odocoileus virginianus texanus is the source of this 2433-nucleotide non-coding RNA. Lineage: Eukaryota; Metazoa; Chordata; Mammalia; Artiodactyla; Cervidae. The record is from RefSeq and is a predicted model, not a curated record.
GACUCGGCGGCGGCGAGUAGUUAGUUAGUUGUUGUUAGUCAGUGUCAGUUGCUCGGCGGCGGCGCCGGCGGUCACCAGGAAGGGUACGGGACGGUCGGCGAAGGUGGUCACCGCGGCGGCGUGUGAGCCCCUCAGAUAUCAUUUCUGAGAAGAUAUUGAAAGAGUAAGAAAACAAUAUAUUCUUAGGGUUUAAGCACUACAGUUGAACUCCUGCUUGAAUUGACAGCAGAUUGAACUGUUCAGAGGAAAAGAAAUGGUGUCUGCCUAAACUGGAACUUAUGCUAUAAAUAUUUUUCUGUGGAUUUUUCUGAAAACCCAAGACCCUACAGCCCUAAGUUAAGAAUCUUGGGAUUAAUAUAAUGGUGUCAGCAGAAGACAUCUUGCUGUGGACCAAGGAGUGAAUUUGCUUGAGGGCAAAGACUAAAGGGAGGACAUCAUAGGUAAUGUUGCUGUGAGUGAGUAUACAAAUAUCUUCUCAAGACCUUGCUUUCAACUUUUUGGGGAAAAGAAUAAUUGAGGCCCAUUCCUAAGGAAAGAAAAGGAAGCAAUGACAUAAUGCCUACAGUUGGUGCCAGUUAAAUUGGUAAACACCACUAUCUUCAGAAAAUAAGGAAUGAGAGGCAAGGAAGAAAGGACAUUCAUUCAUCUUGGAAGAACCCAAAGCACUUUGAAAUCUGAAGGAAUGUAAUUAUAGCUGCUAAAACCACCUUUGUCACCGAAAUGGAUGAAGUACUUCAAAUUUAAAUGGUAACCAGAAUUCUCAUAUCAUGUUUCCACCAAGAACUUUAAAUCACUUGAAAGGAUUUCUUUUUAGCUUUAAAUAUUUACCUUAACAAAUACCAAAGUGCAAAUAGCUGAUAAUUUUAUAACUUAUUUAGCAUAGUUAGGAUUUUAUUUUCUCUUUUAAUGCUUUACCCUGAUAUUAGCUAAAAGAAUUGUUGCUUUUUCCCCCAGGUUAUCAACUUUUAACAUAGGAACAGAUAAGCCUUAUUUGAGUAAGAAUAUGGCAUAGUAUUAGUAUACUUACAGGUCUGUCCUUUGCCAGAUAUUUUUCCUUUCAUAAAAACAACUCAGGCAACAUAAACUGUAGUAUUCUAUCACAUGUAAAAGUGUUUUAUAAUCUUACUUUCUGAACUUUAUUUAGUAUUUUUUUUUAGUUUCCUUAUGUGACAUCUGGUCUCUUGAUCUUUUUCCUUUCAUAUCUGGCAUCUUAUUUUAAUUUAAUCUUUAUUUUAUCCUCUCCCCUUCCUUCUCAGGAAUUUAGGUUUAUAAAAGACACCAGGUUUUAAGUGUUCUGUCAUUAAAAAAGAAAAAAAGACACAAGGAUCCAAAAUGGAAAAGGAGAGAGAAGUUUGAAAAAAUUAUAGAAUUAUUUCUUAUUGUGAAGUCACAGUGAUUGUUACAUUUUAAGUAGAAUGGAAAGCAAUUACAGAAAGACUUAAAAUUCUUUGUCAGUCUUCUCAAAUCUCCUUGAUCUUAGGUCAAAAUUGUUUCAACACAUGUUUUGUAAAAACUCAAAUGUUUGCAACUUUUAAUGGCAUCCUAGUGAACAAUUAGAAAUUUUAUUCAUUGGAAAAGUCUAUUAAUUUGGUUUUGGGGGAUAACUUUGUUUGCUUGAGUCAUUGUGUCUUGGUAGUGAAUGAAUGAAAUUGAGUAAAACUAGGUCCUUGCUGUGAAAUCAGAACAUGUGAAAAAUCAAAUACAGCCCUAAUCAAUGACUAAUCCUAAUGAUUCUAAGGAAUGUAGGACCUAUUAUUUCAGGAAAAUGAUUUAAAUUGGUAAGUGUAACCCAGGAUAAGUAGUAUGUAAGGAAUGUUCCCUGUGCUAACAUUAACGUGGGUAGGAAAUACCUUAACAUUGAUUUUUUUCUUUUUAAUUAUCCAAUUAUUGGUUAAGCUUCUACUUAUGGCAUUGUUAGGAAUUUCUGUAUGCUUGUCACUACCUCCCAGCAUUUAGCAUUUUAAAAAUAUUGAGCAAAUUCUUUCUAGUCCACAACUAUUAAAAAAUUAUACAAAGUUGAAGAAAGUAACUUUUGAAACAUAGCAAAAACUUAAGUGCUGAAUAUUCAGUUAUACAGGCAAAUAGUACAUAGAAAGUCACUGGGGAAUUCCCUGGAGGUUCAGUGCUUAGGAUUCAGCACUUUAACUGCCUUGGGCCUGGGUUCUAUCCCUGGUCAAGGACCCAAGAUCCCACAAGCCACGUGAUACAGCUAAAAGAAGAAAGAAAGUCAGCAAACUUCCAUGUCUUCUCCACUAAUGAUCUAAGUUUUCUUUAUCCAUUUGAUUGUAUCUGAUUCUAUAACCUUGUAUAACCACAGCUUCAUUAAUGAACCCAAAACAAACAAUAUUGUCAAAGUUUUUAUCGUGAUACAUUUACCACUCCUUACCAAACAUUUAUUUCCAUUUAAAUUCAUCUUUCAGUGAUUUGGAGGGC